Molecule: ribosomal RNA, 437 nt
Rfam family: Bacterial small subunit ribosomal RNA
ACGGAAGGCAGCAGUGGGGAAUGUUGGGCAAUGGGCGCAAGCCUGACCCAGCAACGCCGCGUGAAGGAAGAGGGUUUUCGGAUUGUAAACUUCUGUCCUUGGUGACGAAAUAAAUGACGGUAGCCAAGGAGGAAGCCCCGGCUAACUACGUGCCAGCAGCCGCGGUAAUACGUAGGGGGCAAGCGUUGUCCGGAAUGACUGGGCGUAAAGGGCGUGUAGGCGGUUUUUUAAGUCUGGAGUGAAAGUCCUGCUUUCAAGGUGGGAAUUGCUUUGGAGACUGGAAGACUUGAGUGCGGAAGAGGUAAGUGGAAUUCCCAGUGUAGCGGUGAAAUGCGUAGAGAUUGGGAGGAACACCAGUGGCGAAGGCGACUUACUGGGCCGUAACUGACGCUGAGGCGCGAAAGCGUGGGGAGCGAACAGGAUUAGAUACCCUGGUA